AACGCUAGCUACAGGCUUAACACAUGCAAGUCGAGGGGCAGCAUGAACUUAGCUUGCUAAGUUCGAUGGCGACCGGCGCACGGGUGAGUAACGCGUAUCCAACCUUCCGUACACUCAGGAAUAGCCUUUCGAAAGAAAGAUUAAUACCUGAUGGUAUGAUGAGAUUGCAUGAAAUCAUCAUUAAAGAUUCAUCGGUGUACGAUGGGGAUGCGUUCCAUUAGAUAGUAGGCGGGGUAACGGCCCACCUAGUCGACGAUGGAUAGGGGUUCUGAGAGGAAGGUCCCCCACAUUGGAACUGAGACACGGUCCAAACUCCUACGGGAGGCAGCAGUGAGGAAUAUUGGUCAAUGGGCGCGAGCCUGAACCAGCCAAGUAGCGUGAAGGAUGAAGGUCCUACGGAUUGUAAACUUCUUUUAUAAGGGAAUAAAGUCACCUACGUGUAGGUGUUUGUAUGUACCUUAUGAAUAAGCAUCGGCUAACUCCGUGCCAGCAGCCGCGGUAAUACGGAGGAUGCGAGCGUUAUCCGGAUUUAUUGGGUUUAAAGGGAGCGCAGACGGGAUGUUAAGUCAGCUGUGAAAGUUUGCGGCUCAACCGUAAAAUUGCAGUUGAUACUGGCGUUCUUGAGUGCAGUUGAGGUGUGCGGAAUUCGUGGUGUAGCGGUGAAAUGCUUAGAUAUCACGAAGAACUCCGAUUG
This 694-nucleotide ribosomal RNA is filed under the name uncultured bacterium. RNAcentral describes it as "bacterial SSU rRNA". It matches the Rfam family "Bacterial small subunit ribosomal RNA", at positions 32 to 715 of the family's 1533-position model. The record is from RNAcentral.